GUUUUUGUAUUGGAAGGGCUCGU
RNAcentral lists this non-coding RNA (23 nucleotides) under Cricetulus griseus (Chinese hamster). The record is from RNAcentral. Lineage: Eukaryota; Metazoa; Chordata; Mammalia; Rodentia; Cricetidae.